This 253-nucleotide ribosomal RNA is filed under the name uncultured Lachnospiraceae bacterium. RNAcentral describes it as "partial 16S ribosomal RNA". It matches the Rfam family "Bacterial small subunit ribosomal RNA", at positions 524 to 776 of the family's 1533-position model. The record is from RNAcentral. Lineage: Bacteria; Bacillati; Bacillota; Clostridia; Lachnospirales; Lachnospiraceae.
UACGUAGGGGGCAAGCGUUAUCCGGAUUUACUGGGUGUAAAGGGAGCGUAGGCGGUUCAGCAAGUCAGAAGUGAAAGCCCGGGGCUCAACUCCGGGACUGCUUUUGAAACUGUGUGACUGGAGUGCAGGAGAGGUAAGCGGAAUUCCUGGUGUAGCGGUGAAAUGCGUAGAUAUUAGGAGGAACACCAGUGGCGAAGGCGGCUUACUGGACGAUGACUGACGCUGAGGCUCGAAAGCGUGGGGAGCAAAAAGG